CUCUAGCGGUGGAGCAUGUUGUUUAAUUCGAAGCAACGCGAAGAACAUUACCAAAUCUUGACAUCCUUUGACAACUCUAGAGAUAGAGCCUUCCCCUUCGGGGGACAAAGUGACAGGUUGUGCAUGGUUGUCGUCAGCUCGUGUCGUGAGAUGUUGGGUUAAGUCCCGCAACGAGCUCAACCCUUAAGCUUAGUUGCCAUCAUUAAGUUGGGCACUCUAAGUUGACUGACGGUGACAAACCGGAGGAAGGUGGUGAUGACGUCAAAUCAUCAUGACCCUUAUG
This 283-nucleotide ribosomal RNA is filed under the name Staphylococcus aureus. RNAcentral describes it as "partial 16S ribosomal RNA". It matches the Rfam family "Bacterial small subunit ribosomal RNA", at positions 924 to 1206 of the family's 1533-position model. Lineage: Bacteria; Bacillati; Bacillota; Bacilli; Caryophanales; Staphylococcaceae. The record is from RNAcentral.